CCAGAGAACUUUCCAGAGAUGGAUUGGUGGCCUUCGGGAACUCUGAGACAGGUGCUGCAUGGCUGUCGUCAGCUCGUGUUGUGGAAUGUUGGGUUUAAGUCCCGCGAACGAGCGCAACCCUUAUCCUUUGUUGCCAGCGGUUAGGCCGGGAACUCAAAGGAGACUGCCAGUGAUAAACUGGAGGAAGGUGGGGAUGACGUCAAGUCAUCAUGGCCCUUACGAGUAGGGCUACACACGUGCUACAAUGGCGCAUACAAAGAGAAGCGACCUCGCGAGAGCAAGCGGACCUCAUAAAGUGCGUCGUAGUCCGGAUUGGAGUCUGCAACUCGACUCCAUGAAGUCGGAAUCGCUAGUAAUCGUGGAUCAGAAUGCCACGGUGAAUACGUUCCCGGGCCUUGUACACACCGCCCGUCACACCAUGGGAGUGGGUUGCAAAAGAAGUAGGUAGCUUAACCUUCGGGAGGGCGCUUACCACUUUGUGAUUCAUGACUGGGGUGAAGUCGUAACAAGGUAAGCGUAGUGCU
This 524-nucleotide ribosomal RNA is filed under the name uncultured bacterium. Its description in RNAcentral is "bacterial SSU rRNA". It matches the Rfam family "Bacterial small subunit ribosomal RNA", at positions 988 to 1509 of the family's 1533-position model. The record is from RNAcentral.